GUCUAGGUAGUAUAGUGGUUAGUAUGCUCGCUUGUGGUCGCUUCACAGACAAUUCGCGAUUGACGUCAGUUCGAUUCUGGCCCUGGACA
This is a non-coding RNA of Mycena vitilis, 89 nucleotides long. The record is from the annotation of a GenBank genome assembly. NCBI's taxonomy places the organism in Eukaryota, Fungi, Basidiomycota, Agaricomycetes, Agaricales, Mycenaceae.